CCAUCGAUAAUGCUAUGGAUCAGCAUGGCAGACCGGAUAUUUGUAUGUGCGGGUUCAAGUCCCGCUUGAGGUU
This 73-nucleotide transfer RNA is filed under the name Dictyocaulus viviparus (bovine lungworm). It matches the Rfam family "tRNA". Rfam says of the family: Transfer RNA (tRNA) molecules are approximately 80 nucleotides in length. Lineage: Eukaryota; Metazoa; Nematoda; Chromadorea; Rhabditida; Metastrongylidae. The record is from Rfam by way of RNAcentral.